AGGAGCCUGAGUGUUUGGACUGGAGCUGCUGAAUGGUUUCUCACAGUUCUAGAAUGUUUGGGGCUGCACCCUCUAAGAUAUUGAACCCAUCAGUAAUUGCUCCAAACCACUUUAUGGGAUAUAAUGCUGUGAGUUGACCCUGAGGUGAUUGUGGUCCUGUUCAUGAGUAAUUACUUUUCUGUUGCCUAUAGAAGGGCCAGCAACAGCAGAUUAGUAGCUGAACAGUGGUUUUGAGUAAUAAAACGUUCUUUUUUUAAAAAAAGUAAUACUUUCUGUUAAACUCUGACUAUAUCUCUCUCCUGGUAUCACAACCCAGCUUUCUUUUUGCCUUCUUUAUUGCAGUUACAUAUGGGGCUGAUGACUUUAGGGAUUUCCAUGCAAUAAUUCCCAAAUCUUUCUCUCUGUUGGAAUUGUGACUAUCCUCCUCACACAAGCGGCUACUUGGUCUUGAUGCCUUCCCCCGCAAAACAGCAACCAAACUGUUCUGGGCCAAUAUCACCACCUUGUGGUCAUGAUGAAGAAUUGCCCUCUUUGCCCUCAACACCUCGUCUUGAAAAUUAGAAACAACUCCUUUCACCCCC
This 581-nucleotide small RNA is filed under the name Pongo abelii (Sumatran orangutan). Its description in RNAcentral is "processed transcript". Lineage: Eukaryota; Metazoa; Chordata; Mammalia; Primates; Hominidae. The record is from RNAcentral.